RNAcentral lists this long non-coding RNA (830 nucleotides) under Rattus norvegicus (Norway rat). Its description in RNAcentral is "long non-coding RNA NONRATT033533". The record is from RNAcentral. Lineage: Eukaryota; Metazoa; Chordata; Mammalia; Rodentia; Muridae.
CAGCAAGCCUCAUGGUUCAAGCUGCUCUCACAUGCCAUAAUCUCUCGAGAUCUCCACACCCAUCGUCAGCAUCUAAUUCCUUCUCUUCUUAUCUGACCUCAUCUCUGGAGCAGUGUGAUCUGUGUUACCGACUGACUGGAUUCUGGCAACUUAAACAUGUGUAUUUCAAAUGGAAUUUGGCUCUAACAUGAUCGGUCUACGUUAUGCUCAGUGUAAUUGUAGGGAAGAGAUUACCCUUUAGAUACAGUAACGUGUCCUGUGUCUUUUGAAAAUGGAUCCCUAGAAGAGUAUGGCGUCCUCCUACUUUCCAUGGUUUGCCAUUGUAAGAUACUUACGUAACGACAAAUAAUAGGAUUUCUCGAAUGAGUUUAUAGGAAGCGGCUUUAUACUUGGGAGUGGUGGAGACUUGUAUUCCUGUGAGAGUCCAUUGAUGCAGGAUACCAUCUGUUUCCUAUGUAACAUUAAUUCAUGUCAGCUUUUCUGGAGUCAAGCAAAAGCCAAUGGGAAGAGAAGAAAGGAAAAGAAAAGGCACAAGCAAUGAGACCACUCAACAUAAGUUCUGAAUUCAUUCAAAAGAUUCUAAAGAAAGUAUUUACUCUGCUGUUUCCAGUCUCAUUCAUCUUUAACUCCUCUGUAUCGAAAAACGUGGACUUAUUACUUUGAUUUUGUGAAGACUUAUUAAAAUAGGGCCAAUUAACUUAACUGCAGUAUACCUGAGCUGACAAAUAUAUUGGUAAGUAUGUUUUAUUAAUACAACAAAAUUUUACUUUUGAUUAGUAGAGAUUUGAGUCAUGGUCUUUAGCUCAUCAUACAAAAUAAACAAAUUGGAU